AGAGAGAGACAUGCGCGCAUAUCAAUAAGCGGAGGAAAAGAAACUAACAAGGAUUCCCUUAGUAACGGCGAGUGAAGCGGGAAGAGCUCAAAUUUGAAAUCUUCAAGGUUUUACCUUGACGAAUUGUAGUUUAAAGAAGUGUUUUCUGCUGAAGUUUUGGUAAAAGUUCUUUGGAAUAGGACAUCAUAGAGGGUGAGAAUCCCGUAUUUGACCAUUAUCUUCAGCUUUGUGAUACACUUUCAAAGAGUCGGAUUGUUUGGGAAUGCAGUCCAAAAUGGGUGGUAAAUUUCAUCUAAAGCUAAAUAUUGGCGAGAGACCGAUAGCGAACAAGUACCGUGAGGGAAAGAUGAAAAGAACUUUGAAAAGAGAGUUAAACAGUACGUGAAAUUGUCAAAAGGGAAGCGUUUGACACCAGUGUUGUUUUCUCGAAAAUCAAUUAAAAAUGGCUCGAUUUUGUAUUGCUUGAGACCUUAAAAGCUCACUGUACAUUUUUCGUGUCUUUUUUAAUGCACUUUUCGUUUAACAAGUCAACAUCAGUUUCUUUUGUUGUAAAAGGGUCAUUGGAAGGUGGCUUUCUUUUCGGAGAAAGUGUUUAUAGCCUUUGGCCUCUGCAAUCGGAGAGACUGAGGUCUGCAGCGUAGACUCUUCGGGGUUAGAUACAUUUGUGCUAAGUUAUAGCUUUUUAUAGACAACUUGUUGACUAUAAUUAGUCUUGUAGCUUACUCGCUUAUGCUAUUUUACCUACGCUUAGGAUGUUGAAGAUGUAGCACAUCAU
This 775-nucleotide ribosomal RNA is filed under the name uncultured Neocallimastigales. Its description in RNAcentral is "partial large subunit ribosomal RNA". It matches the Rfam family "Eukaryotic large subunit ribosomal RNA", at positions 23 to 620 of the family's 3401-position model. Lineage: Eukaryota; Fungi; Neocallimastigomycota; Neocallimastigomycetes; Neocallimastigales. The record is from RNAcentral.